UUUCUAUGGAUAUGGAUCCAUUUGGUUUGUUUGAUUCUUGCUCGAGUCGGAUGAUGAAAAAUUAUCAUGUCCGGUUCCUUCAGAGGAUGGAUCUAUAAGAAUUCACCUAUCCCAAUAACGAAAAAGCCUGACUUAAAUGAUCAUGUAUUUAGAGCUAAAUUGGCUAAAAGGAUGGGUCAUAAUUAUUACGGAGAAACCGCAUGGCCCAAUGAUCUUUUAUAUAUUUUUCCAGUAGUAAUUUUAGGUACUAUUAUUGCAUGUAACGUAGGCUUAGCGAUUCUAGAACCAUCAAUGAUUGGUGAACCCGCGGAUCCAUUUGCAACUCCUUUGGAAAUAUUACCCGAAUGAUAUUUCUUUCCUGUAUUUCAAAUACUUCGUAUAGUACCUAAUAAGUUAUUGGGUGUUCUUUUAAUGGUUUUAGUACCUGCAGGAUUAUUAAUAGUACCUUUUUUGGAGAAUGUUAAUAAAUUUCAAAAUCCAUUUCGUCGUCCAGUAGCGACAACUGUCUUUUUGAUUGGUACCGUAGUGGCCCUUUGGUUGGGUAUUAGAGCAACAUUACCUAUUGAUAAAUCCCUAACUUUAGGUCUUUUUUAAAUCGAUUCAAUUGUGAAAUAAAAUAUCAUGACUUAUGUAUCUAGGGAAUAGUCGCUUUUUGGAUUUAUUCAGAAUAUAUAAAUUAUGUUAAAUUUGAAAUAAAAGCCCAUUUCAUCUUUUUUUUAGAAAAGAAAAAAAAGACGAUUUCCAAUUUAUUCUUCGGUAAAUGGGUUGUGAAAUGCUUUUUCUAGUUCUAGACUGUCCAAUAUUUGUUUUACAUCUUCUAUACGAAAAUAUUCCAUUUUUAUAAGGUCUUCUUGACUCUUAUUCAAAAGGUCAACUAAUGUAUGUAUAUUAUACCUUUUGAGACAAUUAUAGGUCCUGGGAGGCAAUUCUAAUUGGUCAAUAAAAAUAGAUUUCAAUGCUAUUUCUUUUUUCGUUUUCCUUAGCUUAACCAAUCUAGCAUGAAAAGUAAAAAGGGUAAAGUAACCUUGUACUGAUUGUUCCCUAAAUGUAAGUUUUCUUCUUCCGCAUGUAGAAAAGGAAUAAAUAAAUCAAUUAACCUUGUAGGGGUGCAGAGACAGCCAGGAGGUUUGCCUAGAAGCAGCCACCCUUGAAAGAGUGCGUAAUAGCUUACUGAUCGAGCACUCUUGUGCCGAAGAUGAACAAGGCUAAGCGAUUUGCUGAAGCUAUGGGAUGUCAAAAUACAUCAGUAGGGGAGCGUUUCGCCUCAGAGGGAAGCACCCGCGAGAGCAGGGGUGAAUGAAGCGGAAGCGAGAAUGUUGGCUUGAGUAACGCAAACAUUGGUGAGAAUCCAAUGCCCUGAAAGCCUAAGGGUUCCUCGGCAAGGUUCAUCCACGAAGGGUGAGUCAAGGCCUAAGAUCAGGCUGAAAGACGUAGUCGAUGGACAACGGGUGAAUAUUCCUGUACUACCCCUUGUUGGUCCCGAGGGAUGGAGGAGGCUAGGUUAGCCGAAAGAUAAUUAUCUGUUCAAGGACGCAAGGUGCCCUUGCUUUUUCAUGGUAAGAAGGGGUAGAGAAAAUGCCCUGAGCUAAUGUUCGAGUACCAGGCGCUACGGUAUUGAAGUAACCCCUGCCAUACUCCUAGGAAAAGCUCUAAUGACCUUCAACAAAGGGUACCUGUACCCGAAAGCGACACAGGUGGGUAGGUAGAGAAUACCUAGGGGGCACGAGACAACUCUCUCUAAGGAACUUGGCAAAAUAGCCCCGUAACUUCGGGAGAAGGGGUGCCUCAUCACAAAGAGGGUCGUAGUGACCAGGCCCGGGCGACUGUUUACCAAAAACACAGGUCUCUGCAAAGUCGUAAGACCAUGUAUGGGGGCUGACACCUGCCUAGUGCCGGAAAGUCAAGGAAGUUGGUGACCUGAUGAUAAGGGAGCCAGCGACCGAAGCCCCGGUGAAUGGCGACCGUAACUAUAACGGUCCUAAGGUAAUGAAAUUCCUUGUCGGGUAAGUUCUGACCAGCAUGAAAGGCGUAACGAUUUAGGCACUGUCUCGAAGAGAAACUCGGUGAAAUAGACAUGUCUGUGAAGAUGCGAACUACUUGCACAUGGACAGAAAGACCCUAUGAAGCUUACUGUUGCCUAGGAUUGGCUUUGGGCCUUUCCUGCAUAGCUUAGGUGGAAGGCGAAGUAGGCCUCCUUCNNNNNNNNNNNNNNNNNNNNNNNNNNNNNNNNGAUACCACUCUAGAAGAGCUAGAAUUUUAACAUUGUGUCAGGAUCUACGGGCCAUGGGACAAUCUCAAGUAAACAGUUUUUAUGGGGUGUAAGCCUCUCAAAAGGUAACAGAGGUGUGCAAACGUUUCCUCGGGCUGAACGGAGAUUGGCCCUCGAGUGCAAAGGCAAAAGGGAGCUUGACUGCAAGACCCACCCGUCGAGCAGGGACAAAAGUCGGCCUUAGUGAUUCGAUGGUGCCGAGUGGAAGGGCCGUCGCUAAACGGAUAAAAGUUACUCUAGGGAUAACAGGCUGAUCUUCCCCAAGAGUUCACAUCGAUGGGAAGGUUUGGCACCUCGAUGUCGGCUCUUCACCACCUAGGGCUGUAGUAUGUUCCAAGGGUUGGGCUGUUCGUCCAUUAAAGCGGUAUGUGAGCUGGGUUCAGAACGUUGUGAGACAGUUUGGUCCAUAUCCGAUGUGGGCGUUAGAGCAUUGAGAGGACCUUUUCCUAGUACGAGAGGACCAGGAAGGAUGCACCUCUGGUGUACCAGUUAUCGUGCUCAUGGUAAACGCUAGGUAGCCAAGUGCGGAGUGGAUAAUUGCUGAAAGCAUCUAAGUAGUAAGCCCACCCUAAGAUGAGUGCUCUCCUAUUUUGACUUUCCCGGAGCCUCCGAUAGCAUAGUUGAGACAACGAUGGGUUCUCUGCCCCUGUGGGGAUGGAGCGACAAAAGUUUUGAGAAUUUAAGAGAAGGUCACAGCGAGACGAGCUGUUUAUCAUUAUGAUAGGUGUUAAGUGGAAGUGCAGUGAUGUAUGCAGUUGAGGCAUCCUAACAGACCGGUAGACUUGAACCU
RNAcentral lists this ribosomal RNA (3059 nucleotides) under Metrosideros polymorpha var. glaberrima. RNAcentral's name for it is "eukaryotic LSU rRNA". The stretch from base 869 to 3059 matches the Rfam family "Bacterial large subunit ribosomal RNA". Lineage: Eukaryota; Viridiplantae; Streptophyta; Magnoliopsida; Myrtales; Myrtaceae. The record is from RNAcentral.